Molecule: unclassified non-coding RNA, 320 nt
Filed under: uncultured bacterium
Lineage: Bacteria
Description: contains 16S-23S intergenic spacer region
Source: RNAcentral
CCGUCACGCGCGUAUACCCGUCGGCGGCGUGGGUGCCGCCCUCCUCGUGCCUGACGGAGUAGUGCUUUAUCUGGUUGGACUUGCUGAGGGCCUUGUAGAGCGGCAGGAUCGCAGCCCCCGGCACCCCGAAGGCGACCUCGACGCCCUCGUCCUCCAUCACCUUCACGACCGCGUCCAUCACGUUCAUCGUUGGCAUAAUUGCCUCCUUCCAGUCGGCAGCUAUUAGCAGUCAGCUAUCAGCGGUCAGCUGGAGGGCGCGGUUCGUUGCCGCCUAUCGCCUGACGAACCCUUUGCGGGAACGUGGCCGCGAAAAGCGCCGC